AAAAGCAAUUUUCUAAACUUAUCGUGGAUCCUAGUUCCCUAUUUUCUUGGUUUCGCCCAUUUCCCGAGCGUAAGCGUAUUUCGCGUAACCUUCGGUUCAAAAUCGCCUGCCGGUUGGAAUUAAAACGCGAGAAAAAUGUGUUUGUUAGGCGUACGCGCGUUUUUCGGGAGGUGGGGCCCGGACGCAUUCCGGUUUUCCGGCCCGAAUUCGGUGUCCACUUCGCCCCGUGUUCACGAAAACCG
This is a non-coding RNA of Cinara cedri, 242 nucleotides long. NCBI's taxonomy places the organism in Eukaryota, Metazoa, Arthropoda, Insecta, Hemiptera, Aphididae. The record is from the annotation of a GenBank genome assembly.